RNAcentral lists this ribosomal RNA (253 nucleotides) under uncultured bacterium. Its description in RNAcentral is "partial 16S ribosomal RNA". It matches the Rfam family "Bacterial small subunit ribosomal RNA", at positions 524 to 776 of the family's 1533-position model. The record is from RNAcentral.
GACAGAGGAUGCAAGCAUUAUCCGGAAUGAUUGGGCGUAAAGCGUCUGUAGGUUGCUUUUCAAGUCUGCCGUCAAAUCCCAGGGCUCAACCCUGGACAGGCAGUGGAAACUACCAAGCUAGAGUACGGUAGGGGCAGAGGGAAUUUCCGGUGGAGCGAUGAAAUGCGUAGAGAUCGGAAGGAACACCCAAGGCGAAAGCACUCUGCUGGGCCGACACUGACACUGAGAGACGAAAGCUAGGGGAGCAAAUGGG